CAUAGGCCAGCUGAUUUAAUAAUUUAAGAAAGAACUGUUAUCCUGAGUAAGGAGCAUAGAGACAAAUAUAAAAUGAACGCACUCUACCUGAUUAUAGUCUUCUGGUGAAGAUCUUGCUGUUAUCUCUGUGAAUCAGGAGAGAAGAGAUUGAUGAAUAGACGAGAUUGGAUUUGGUCAUUUCCCCAAGGUGAAGAGCAUGGCGAUUUCUUCUGUGGUAAGGAGCAAUAGUGAAGACCAUGGUUGAUUUAAUCAGUCUCUGCUGAUGAAGAUCUUGGCUGUUACCUUUGUGUAAUGAAUGCGCAGUGAUUCAAUUAUUCUCCAGCGAGGAAGAUCAUGGUUGUUGUCUGUUUGAGUAAUGAGUGUAGAAACCUACGUAAGUAACAAAGUGAUUGCUUUUGCUUUAGUGGUUGUUAAGAGAGUUAAGUCUUUCUGGAAAGGAAUAAAUGACUACGUAUACAAAUAAA
This 464-nucleotide long non-coding RNA is filed under the name Pan troglodytes (chimpanzee). RNAcentral describes it as "lincRNA". Lineage: Eukaryota; Metazoa; Chordata; Mammalia; Primates; Hominidae. The record is from RNAcentral.